CAAGAAGCAAGAAGCCACCCUGGUACCGGAGACAGAAACAGAGGCGAAGGGGUCGGCCGAGGAGAGCGGUGGAGGGGGGAUGGGGAUGGUAGAUAAGAUUAAAGGGGCUGUGAGUUCUUGGAUUGGAGCCGGAAGUGUGGCAGGAGGGAAGCAAGCAUCGACCCCAAGUGAGAGCAUGGACCUCAAAGGGAAAGAAUAGUGGCCGGUGCAAGCUAUGAAGGUGCUUCAGCAAGGAGAGGGAAGGAGGGUGGUGUUUAUUUAUUUAUUUUUGCUUUGUGUUUAUGGACAAGUUAUCGUAUAUUUAUUGUAUACUUUUGUACUUCGUAGGACGAAGGUGGUGGUGUUGUAUGUAUACGUUCUGCUUAAUUUUGUGCGUGGCUUCAUGCUCUCUUGGUGAAAUUUAACUUCUGUUUGUGUGCGGACCUUA
This is a long non-coding RNA of Asparagus officinalis (garden asparagus), 427 nucleotides long. RefSeq lists it as uncharacterized. The transcript is spliced from 2 exons. NCBI's taxonomy places the organism in Eukaryota, Viridiplantae, Streptophyta, Magnoliopsida, Asparagales, Asparagaceae. The record is from RefSeq and is a predicted model, not a curated record.